This is a long non-coding RNA of Manis pentadactyla (Chinese pangolin), 2500 nucleotides long. RefSeq lists it as uncharacterized. The transcript is spliced from 5 exons. Lineage: Eukaryota; Metazoa; Chordata; Mammalia; Pholidota; Manidae. The record is from RefSeq and is a predicted model, not a curated record.
CCCCAACCCUAAGUUUUUUCAUGUUCUUGAAAAAUCCUCAACUGCCUAUAAAACCCCCUAGACAAACACACCACUACAGACUCUCUUGUCCCCUCCUGGCGUGAGCCAGGAGCUCUCUCCUUUCACUGUAUCUCUAAAUAAAAGCAUGUACCUUGCUCUCCUACCUUGACUGUUUGUGAAGCUCAUUCUUCGGCUCCGCAAACAAGAACCCCGGCAUCAGUAGCAUUAAGUGUUGUCAUUGUUUUAUGGUUUACGAUAGUAAUGAUAGUGAAUGAUUCUGAGCUGCCUCCUCCCCUCCAGGCCUCAACCUUGCUGCCGUUUUUCAUGACCAGUGCCAGGUGGAAGUGUUUCUUCAGGCUGCCACGGCUGGGUGAAAACUGAUCACAGAGGCAGAGUUGAGAGUCCUGUUGUUUAUGGAUUCUCUGGGAAAUCAUAGGUGUUUAGCAGAGAUACACAAUACCGGCCCUCUUUGUAUCAGAUGCCGAAAAUGAGUCUGAAAGAGAAGCAGGGCUUUACUGAAGGCCCCAUAGUCGGGAAGCAGCAGGGCCUGGAUUCAGACCCAAGCCUGUCCUACCUUAGGGCGAGCCCACAUUAUUUCCCUGGCAACGGGCAGAUUGCCUAGUGACUUACACCAAGACGGGAAGGAGUCGUCUUAAUGGGAAAUCGACAAGCUUUGAACUUACUUUCAGAUACACAUUGGAUAUCAAGUAAGUGGUUGCAGUUAAUGGUAGAAGCUAGGGUUUGUACAUAACAGAAUUUUUACCGACUGUUCAUUAUGAAAUUUUAACAACACACACAAAUGUAAUAUGGUAUAAAGAACUCCCACAUACCCAGCACCUAGUAUUGGCAGUCAUCUACAUUUUGUUUUAUCUAUUUUCCUCUUGCACAUCUAAGCAUAUUUUUUCCCAUAGUUUUUUUUUCUUAAGCAAAUCCAGAUGUCCUGUCAUUUUAUCAUAACUUUGCAAAUAUGCUGAAUUUUGGAGUUGUUGAUGUAUAGAUACAUGGUAUUUAAAACCCUGGGAUUUGCUAAAACCAAUCCCAGUCCAUGAGAGCAGAGACUAGGCCCUGGGGCCUCCCACAUUUAGGAAUGGGGAAAGGACAGGACUGUAGAGAAGGGCAGAGAGGGAGCAGGAAGAGCAGAAGGGGAAAUGACCUGGUGUCCGCGGAACAAGUUGCUCCAAAGAGGUGGAGACGAACUGGGGAACAAGGGUCUCGGCCGUAGCUAGAGGUGGAUGUGGGAGCCACCCAGAAAAAAACAUGUUUUUUUUUUAAUCCCCCAAUCUAACUAAGUUAUAAAAACUUACCAAUAUCAUAAUGCAGAUUCUAUAAGGAAAAGUUUUUAAGUUCUUUAACUUUCUUUUUGGCGAGGUGUAAUUUGAAUAUGGCCAAGUACCCCAAGAACACAGAUCUUAAGGGUACAGGUCAAUGAAUUUUUGCAAGUAUAUAUACUCAUGUAACCACUAACCAGGUCAAGAGGGAGAACAUUUCCAGCACCCCAGAAAUUUCUCUUGUGCCCCAUCCCUGGCAGUCCUCCCACUCCAGAAGCAACCACCGAUCUAACUGUGGUCACUACUGAUCGGUGGUGCCUGCUCCGGAACUUCAGGAUAGCAGCUUCUUGGUCUGGAGCAUAUCAAUCAGGACUGCCUGUCCUGCUCCCAAGGAUUCACAGCUUCAUCCCUGAAGGGGUGUGAGCUUUUAUGGGGAUUCCUGAAUUCUCUCUUCUUGGCUGGAUAAUCUUCGGAAAUUAUGACCUACCAAUUCUGGCAGACCUAGGCUGCCACCUCCUCACUGAGACCUGCCAUACGGUGUAGGAGCCUGUGUCUGUGAUUGUGUUUACCAUGGCUUGGGUGCCAAUGGCCACUGUUUGAAUUGUCGCGGACUAAUGAGAAAAAGCAAAGGCCAAUGGAGAAGCAAAAGGCACUGUGAGCCAAGCCAAGGGAGUGCGAUGUCACUGUCCCCGUCCCUGAGCUCUGGCCGAAUCAAGUGGUCCCAGCAGAAGGAGGGCAAACUGAGUCACAUUUUGGCCCCACAAGCCAGCCCAGUGCAGAAGCACUGGGGCCUGGGGCCUCUCUUCACAACAGCAGCAGAGAUUGAGUUACUGAAACAAGGUCACCCAUGUCAGUGCUGUAAUUAACAUUUAUUGGUUUUGCCACUUAUGUUUGAACUUGGUUUGUAAAUUUGCUUUGGUUUUACUGUUAAACAUAAAAGAGUCGUAGUUGGAAGGAAUUUUAUAUCCGUCCACAUAAGUGACUUGACAAUAAAAAUAGUUUAAAGCCAAACACUGGAGUUCUUUGUACAAUUUCUUCUUUUAAGUUUAGGAGGGACCUGCGCCUUAGAGGAGUUUAAGAAACUUGAUUGCAUCAUUCAUUUAUUCGUUAUUCAGCCACAAACCUUUACCGAGUGUCUGUGUGUACCAGGCCCUGCCCCAGCCCCCCGUACCAAGGCCAGAGUGCCUGCCUCAACAGCCACCCCAGCUGCCUUCUUGCAGACCCCUUCCCAC